This 372-nucleotide ribosomal RNA is filed under the name uncultured bacterium. RNAcentral's name for it is "bacterial SSU rRNA". It matches the Rfam family "Bacterial small subunit ribosomal RNA", at positions 524 to 898 of the family's 1533-position model. The record is from RNAcentral.
UACGUAGGUGGCAAGCGUUGUCCGGAUUUAUUGGGUUUAAAGGGUGCGUAGGCGGUCCCAUAAGUCAGUGGUGAAAUACUCUAGCUUAACUAGAGGGGUGCCAUUGAUACUGCGGGACUUGAGUGGAGUUGAAGUGGGCGGAAUUGACGGUGUAGCGGUGAAAUGCUUAGAUAUCGUCAAGAACACCGAUAGUGAAGACAGCUCACUAAGCUCAAACUGACGCUGAGGCACGAAAGUGUGGGGAUCAAACAGGAUUAGAUACCCUGGUAGUCCACACUGUAAACGUUGAUUACUCGCUGUUGGCGAUACACAGCCAGCGGCUAAGCGCAAGCGAUAAGUAAUCCACCUGGGGAGUACGCCGGCAACGGUGAA